This 293-nucleotide ribosomal RNA is filed under the name uncultured bacterium. RNAcentral describes it as "partial 16S ribosomal RNA". It matches the Rfam family "Bacterial small subunit ribosomal RNA", at positions 505 to 796 of the family's 1533-position model. The record is from RNAcentral.
GUGCCAGCAGCCGCGGUAAUACGAAGGGGGCUAGCGUUGUUCGGAAUCACUGGGCGUAAAGCGCACGCAGGCGGAUUGAUAAGUCAGGGGUGAAAUCCCGGAGCUCAACUUCGGAAUUGCCUUUGAUACUGUCUAUCUUCGAGUUCGGGAGAGGUUGGCGGAAUUCCUAGUGUAGAGGUGAAAUUCGUAGAUAUUAGGAAGAACACCAGUGGCGAAGGCGGCCAACUGGCCCGAUACUGACGCUCAUGUGCGAAAGCGUGGGGAGCAAACAGGAUUAGAUACCCUGGUAGUCC